CGCCAGUCUGCAUGGAGCCGACCUUGAAAUACCACCCUUUAAUGUUUGAUGUUCUAACGUUGACCCGUAAUCCGGGUUGCGGACAGUGUCUGGUGGGUAGUUUGACUGGGGCGGUCUCCUCCUAAAGAGUAACGGAGGAGCACGAAGGUUGGCUAAUCCUGGUCGGACAUCAGGAGGUUAGUGCAAUGGCAUAAGCCAGCUUGACUGCGAGCGUGACGGCGCGAGCAGGUGCGAAAGCAGGUCAUAGUGAUCCGGUGGUUCUGAAUGGAAGGGCCAUCGCUCAACGGAUAAAAGGUACUCCGGGGAUAACAGGCUGAUACCGCCCAAGAGUUCAUAUCGACGGCGGUGUUUGGCACCUCGAUGUCGGCUCAUCACAUCCUGGGGCUGAAGUAGGUCCCAAGGGUAUGGCUGUUCGCCAUUUAAAGUGGUACGCGAGCUGGGUUUAGAACGUCGUGAGACAGUUCGGUCCCUAUCUGCCGUGGGCGCUGGAGAACUGAGGGGGGCUGCUCCUAGUACGAGAGGACCGGAGUGGACGCAUCACUGGUGUUCGGGUUGUCAUGCCAAUGGCACUGCCCGGUAGCUAAAUGCGGAAGAGAUAAGUGCUGAAAG
RNAcentral lists this ribosomal RNA (609 nucleotides) under Escherichia coli. Its description in RNAcentral is "partial 23S ribosomal RNA". It matches the Rfam family "Bacterial large subunit ribosomal RNA", at positions 2169 to 2777 of the family's 2925-position model. The record is from RNAcentral. Lineage: Bacteria; Pseudomonadati; Pseudomonadota; Gammaproteobacteria; Enterobacterales; Enterobacteriaceae.